Molecule: ribosomal RNA, 254 nt
Filed under: uncultured bacterium
Lineage: Bacteria
Description: partial 16S ribosomal RNA
Rfam family: Bacterial small subunit ribosomal RNA
Source: RNAcentral
UACAGAGGGUGCGAGCGUUAAUCGGAAUUACUGGGCGUAAAGCGUGCGCAGACGGUUGCGUAAGUCAGAUGUGAAAGCCCCGGGCUCAACCUGGGAAUUGCAUUUGAGACUGCGUAGCUAGGGUGCGGAAGAGGGAAGCGGAAUUUCCGGUGUAGCGGUGAAAUGCGUAGAUAUCGGAAGGAACACCAGUGGCGAAAAGCGGCUUCCUGGUCCAGCACCGACGUCAGGCACGAAAGCGUGGGGGAGCAAACAGG